Molecule: ribosomal RNA, 700 nt
Filed under: Vibrio sp.
Lineage: Bacteria; Pseudomonadati; Pseudomonadota; Gammaproteobacteria; Vibrionales; Vibrionaceae
Description: bacterial SSU rRNA
Rfam family: Bacterial small subunit ribosomal RNA
Source: RNAcentral
ACGGCGUCGAGCGGCGGACGGGUGAGUAAUGCCUAGGAAAUUGCCCUGAUGUGGGGGAUAACCAUUGGAAACGAUGGCUAAUACCGCAUGAUGCCUACGGGCCAAAGAGGGGGACCUUCGGGCCUCUCGCGUCAGGAUAUGCCUAGGUGGGAUUAGCUAGUUGGUGAGGUAAGGGCUCACCAAGGCGACGAUCCCUAGCUGGUCUGAGAGGAUGAUCAGCCACACUGGAACUGAGACACGGUCCAGACUCCUACGGGAGGCAGCAGUGGGGAAUAUUGCACAAUGGGCGCAAGCCUGAUGCAGCCAUGCCGCGUGUAUGAAGAAGGCCUUCGGGUUGUAAAGUACUUUCAGUCGUGAGGAAGGCGGCGUCGUUAAUAGCGGCGUUGUUUGACGUUAGCGACAGAAGAAGCACCGGCUAACUCCGUGCCAGCAGCCGCGGUAAUACGGAGGGUGCGAGCGUUAAUCGGAAUUACUGGGCGUAAAGCGCAUGCAGGUGGUUUGUUAAGUCAGAUGUGAAAGCCCGGGGCUCAACCUCGGAAUAGCAUUUGAAACUGGCAGACUAGAGUACUGUAGAGGGGGGUAGAAUUUCAGGUGUAGCGGUGAAAUGCGUAGAGAUCUGAAGGAAUACCGGUGGCGAAGGCGGCCCCCUGGACAGAUACUGACACUCAGAUGCGAAAGCGUGGGGAGCAAACAGGAUUAG